RNAcentral lists this ribosomal RNA (426 nucleotides) under uncultured prokaryote. RNAcentral describes it as "bacterial SSU rRNA". It matches the Rfam family "Bacterial small subunit ribosomal RNA", at positions 355 to 774 of the family's 1533-position model. The record is from RNAcentral.
UCGAGAAUUUUUCUCAAUGGGCGAAAGCUUGAAGGAGCGACGCCGCGUGGGGGAUGAAGGGCUUCGGCCUGUAAACCCCUGUCAUUUGCGAACAAACCUGCUCAUCUAACACAUGAGCAGCUGAUAGUAGUGAAAGAGGAAGGGACGGCUAACUCUGUGCCAGCAGCCGCGGUAAUACAGAGGUCCCAAGCGUUGUUCGGAUUCACUGGGCGUAAAGGGUGCGUAGGUGGCGGAAUAAGUUCGAUGUGAAAUCUCCGGGCUUAACCCGGAAAAGGCAUUGGAUACUAUUUCGCUCGAGGGUCGGAGGGGAGACUGGAAUUCUCGGUGUAGCAGUGAAAUGCGUAGAUAUCGAGAGGAACACCAGUGGCGAAGGCGAGUCUCUGGACGACUCCUGACACUGAGGCACGAAAGCUAGGGGAUCAAACA